AACGAACGCUGGCGGCAGGCCUAACACAUGCAAGUCGAGCGCGCCCUUCGGGGUGAGCGGCGGACGGGUGAGUAACGCGUGGGAACGUGCCCUUCUCUGCGGAAUAGCCUCGGGAAACUGAGAGUAAUACCGCAUACGCCCUUUGGGGGAAAGAUUUAUCGGAGAAGGAUCGGCCCGCGUUGGAUUAGGUAGUUGGUGGGGUAAUGGCCCACCAAGCCGACGAUCCAUAGCUGGUUUGAGAGGAUGAUCAGCCACACUGGGACUGAGACACGGCCCAGACUCCCAGGGGGGGCGGCGGGGGGGAAUCUAAGGAAAGGGGGCCAACCCUGAUCCGCCCAGGCCGGGGGGGUGGUGAAGGCUUUGGGGUUGAAAAGCUUUUGCAGCUGGGAAGAAAAGGAGGGAACCGGGAAAAAAAGCCCCGGUAAACUCCGU
This 432-nucleotide ribosomal RNA is filed under the name uncultured bacterium. RNAcentral describes it as "partial 16S ribosomal RNA". It matches the Rfam family "Bacterial small subunit ribosomal RNA", at positions 29 to 506 of the family's 1533-position model. The record is from RNAcentral.